CCUACGGGAGGCAGCAGUGAGGAAUAUUGGUCAAUGGACGGAAGUCUGAACCAGCCAUGCCGCGUGCAGGAUGACGGCUCUAUGAGUUGUAAACUGCUUUUGUACGAGAGUAAACGUACUUACGCGUAUCUAUCUGAAUGUAUCGUACGAAUAAGGAUCGGCUAACUCCGUGCCAGCAGCCGCGGUAAUACGGAGGAUUCAAGCGUUAUCCGGAUUUAUUGGGUUUAAAGGGUGCGUAGGCUGUCGGAUAAGUUAGAGGUGAAAUCUCGGGGCUCAACCUCGUGACUGCCUCUGAUACUGUUCGACUAGAGAGCAGAUGCAGUAGGCGGAAUGAGUAGUGUAGCGGUGAAAUGCUUAGAGAUCACACAGAACACCGAUUGCGAAGGCAGCUUACCAAUCUGCAUCUGACGCUGAUGCACGAAAGCGUGGGUAGCGAACAGGAUUAGAUACCCCUGUAGUC
This 460-nucleotide ribosomal RNA is filed under the name uncultured bacterium. RNAcentral's name for it is "partial 16S ribosomal RNA". It matches the Rfam family "Bacterial small subunit ribosomal RNA", at positions 338 to 795 of the family's 1533-position model. The record is from RNAcentral.